This 459-nucleotide ribosomal RNA is filed under the name uncultured bacterium. Its description in RNAcentral is "partial 16S ribosomal RNA". It matches the Rfam family "Bacterial small subunit ribosomal RNA", at positions 338 to 795 of the family's 1533-position model. The record is from RNAcentral.
CCUACGGGAGGCAGCAGUGAGGAAUAUUGGUCAAUGGCCGCAGGGCUGAACCAGCCAAGUCGCGUGAGGGAUGACGGUCCUAUGGAUUGUAAACCUCUUUUGUCAGGGAGCAAAGGGCGCCACGUGUGGCGCUUUGCGAGUACCUGAAGAAAAAGCAUCGGCUAACUCCGUGCCAGCAGCCGCGGUAAUACGGAGGAUGCGAGCGUUAUCCGGUUUUAUUGGGUGUAAAGGGUGCGCAGGCGGAAUGUCAAGUCAGCGGUAAAAUUUCGGGGCUCAACCCCGUAGUGCCGUUGAAACUGGCGUUCUUGAGUGAGCGAGAAGUAUGCGGAAUGCGUGGUGUAGCGGUGAAAUGCAUAGAUAUCACGCAGAACUCCGAUUGCGAAGGCAGCAUACCGGCGCUCAACUGACGUUCAUGCACGAAAGCGUGGGUAUCGAACAGGAUUAGAUACCCGAGUAGUC